Molecule: non-coding RNA, 48 nt
Filed under: Schistosoma margrebowiei
Lineage: Eukaryota; Metazoa; Platyhelminthes; Trematoda; Strigeidida; Schistosomatidae
Source: RNAcentral
AUCCAGCUGACGAGUCCCAAAUAGGACGAGAAAACACACGUUCUGGAU